UGGGGGGAUUAAGGAAAUGGGUAGGCAAAAUUGUGGAUAAUGCAAGGGAAAUUGAGGCUAUGGGUAAAGUUUGUUGUUGUUGUUGUUGUUGGGGUAUGGGGGUUGUAUUUUGUUGUUCUUCGUUAGAUGUUUGGUUUUCUAGGUUGUUGUUUGACGAUUGGUUGUUGGGAUCCAUUUUUAAGGUUUUGAGUGAGAAAUGGAGAGGUAAAGAGGAGGAAGAAGAACAAGAGGUGGAGAUGAAAAGAUAGGUGAAGGGUUGAUGACCUCCAAAGAAU
Molecule: long non-coding RNA, 275 nt
Filed under: Capsicum annuum
Lineage: Eukaryota; Viridiplantae; Streptophyta; Magnoliopsida; Solanales; Solanaceae
Description: long non-coding RNA (CANN_LNC005539)
Source: RNAcentral